CGUCACAUCACAGAGAUUUCACCACUGUGUUCACUCCAAAUUAAUCUCUUCUGAGUACCAGAGGACUCACCAUGUGGCUAAAAGGUUUUAUAAGUAACCAUGUCAACAUGAAACUUCUGAAGACCUGUGUCAUCCUUCUCCUUCUGACUGUGUUGUUCUUUGUACUAAGAAACAUGGACCUGCUGCAGCUAAAUUAUAAAGAAAACUCUGCCAUCAUCAACAAGAACGUGACCUCUACUCAGCCCACUGCUCC
Non-coding RNA from Labrus bergylta (ballan wrasse), 253 nucleotides. NCBI's taxonomy places the organism in Eukaryota, Metazoa, Chordata, Actinopteri, Labriformes, Labridae. The record is from RefSeq and is a predicted model, not a curated record.